This 686-nucleotide small RNA is filed under the name Cryptococcus neoformans H99. RNAcentral's name for it is "Cryptococcus neoformans var. grubii H99 hypothetical RNA". Lineage: Eukaryota; Fungi; Basidiomycota; Tremellomycetes; Tremellales; Cryptococcaceae. The record is from RNAcentral.
AGCCAUUUGACUUCUUGCAAUAAUUGAAAGGCGGGCUCAAAUAUGGAUGAGCGUGAUAUGAAGGAUGUGGCGCCUCCGCCACAAUGAGCGAUUGAAGAAGGUGCGAUUGAGGAAUAACAAUGCUGAGUUUUGGGCGGGAGUGUGGGCCACUAGAGCGUAGUGGAGACGGACUAGACACGGGUCCAAUGUAGAGGCAAUUGGCAGGCGUGAUGGGUCUAGAAUCUGCAAGAGAAGAUGGCGACGCAGAGAGCGUAAUCGAUGGCGACGAAGACAAACUGAGAAUUGGAUGAUUGUUCUGUAGGCAUGUCAUGGUGAUGUAGCGAAAGGGCUUGCAGGAGCACUUAAAACAGCUUUUGAGAACAGCAAGAGUAUAACGUAGAAGUUACCGACCUCAAGUCUCAUAUGAUCAUUGAUCGAUCGAAUCGAAUAGUAUUCCGAAUCGUUACUCGUCGUCUGGACUUUUAAGCAGUUCACGUGUCAGAAGAAGAACAAAAGGAACACGAACGGCAAUUGACGGUGGGAUGUCAGGUGUCCCACCAAGGGCUAGUUCGGCUCCCUGAUGAUAUACGACAUCAAUAUCUAACAUAGAGUGUACUGAUGUACGAUCCAUUCCAGUGUAUUGUUGGGAAUUUGAUACUACAUCCUAUAUCGGCUUUAUGAAUGUUUCUCUUACUCUUUUAUCUCGC